AUUGAACGCUGGCGGCAUGCCUUACACAUGCAAGUCGAACGGCAGCACGGGUGCUUGCACCUGGUGGCGAGUGGCGAACGGGUGAGUAAUACAUCGGAACAUGUCCUGUUGUGGGGGAUAGCCCGGCGAAAGCCGGAUUAAUACCGCAUACGAUCUACGGAUGAAAGCGGGGGACCUUCGGGCCUCGCGCUAUAGGGUUGGCCGAUGGCUGAUUAGCUAGUUGGUGGGGUAAAGGCCUACCAAGGCGACGAUCAGUAGCUGGUCUGAGAGGACGACCAGCCACACUGGGACUGAGACACGGCCCAGACUCCUACGGGAGGCAGCAGUGGGGAAUUUUGGACAAUGGGCGAAAGCCUGAUCCAGCAAUGCCGCGUGUGUGAAGAAGGCCUUCGGGUUGUAAAGCACUUUUGUCCGGAAAGAAAUCCUUGGCUCUAAUACAGUCGGGGGAUGACGGUACCGGAAGAAUAAGCACCGGCUAACUACGUG
This 486-nucleotide ribosomal RNA is filed under the name uncultured bacterium. Its description in RNAcentral is "partial 16S ribosomal RNA". It matches the Rfam family "Bacterial small subunit ribosomal RNA", at positions 30 to 507 of the family's 1533-position model. The record is from RNAcentral.